UACGGAGGAUGCGAGCGUUAUCCGGAUUUAUUGGGUUUAAAGGGUGCGUAGGCGGAUCGUUAAGUCAGUGGUCAAAUUGAGGGGCUCAACCCCUUCCCGCCAUUGAAACUGGCGAUCUUGAGUGGAAGAGAAGUAUGCGGAAUGCGUGGUGUAGCGGUGAAACGCAUAGAUAUCACGCAGAACCCCGAUUGCGAAGGCAGCAUGCCGGCUUCCUACUGACGCUGAAGCACGAAAGCGUGGGGAUCGAACAGG
This 252-nucleotide ribosomal RNA is filed under the name uncultured bacterium. RNAcentral describes it as "partial 16S ribosomal RNA". It matches the Rfam family "Bacterial small subunit ribosomal RNA", at positions 524 to 776 of the family's 1533-position model. The record is from RNAcentral.